Molecule: ribosomal RNA, 273 nt
Filed under: uncultured bacterium
Lineage: Bacteria
Description: partial 16S ribosomal RNA
Rfam family: Bacterial small subunit ribosomal RNA
Source: RNAcentral
UACAGAGGGUGCAAGCGUUAAUCGGAAUUACUGGGCGUAAAGCGCGCGUAGGUGGUUCGGUAAGUUGAAUGUGAAAUCCCCGGGCUCAACCUGGGAACUGCAUCCAAAACUGCCGAGCUAGAGUAUGGUAGAGGGUGGUGGAAUUUCCUGUGUAGCGGUGAAAUGCGUAGAUAUAGGAAGGAACACCAGUGGCGAAGGCGACCACCUGGACUGAUACUGACACUGAGGUGCGAAAGCGUGGGGAGCAAACAGGAUUAGAAACCCCCGUAGUCC